GACGUAGGGCGCGAGCGUUGUCCGGAAUUAUUGGGCGUAAAGAGCUCGUAGGCGGUGUGUCGCGUCGGCCGUGAAAACCUGCAGCUUAACUGUGGGCUUGCGGUCGAUACGGGCAUCACUGGAGUUCGGCAGGGGAGACUGGAAUUCCUGGUGUAGCGGUGAGAUGCGCAGAUAUCUGGAGGAACACCGGUGGCGAAGGCGGCAUCCUGGACCGAUACUGACGCUGAGGAGCGAAAGCCAGGGGAGCAAACGGG
RNAcentral lists this ribosomal RNA (254 nucleotides) under uncultured bacterium. RNAcentral's name for it is "partial 16S ribosomal RNA". It matches the Rfam family "Bacterial small subunit ribosomal RNA", at positions 524 to 776 of the family's 1533-position model. The record is from RNAcentral.